GCCCCCCAAAAAUUAGUGUGUGAAAUAAGCCCUCAAGAAAAUAUAAAGCAGUUUUAUGUGGGGAUAAGUUUGACAAGUGCGUGUAUUAGGAGUUCCCCGCUAGGUUUAGAGUAUAUCAUGUAUAUUCAGCGUUAUUAUGAAGUGAUGUGAUUCGUAAAACUACGGGUAUUGAAAACAACCGUGUAUGCAUGAAUGAUUUUACACCUAACUAAUUUAAUAAAAAAAUAAUUAAAUUGUUAUUUAGGGGUCAUCCAUAAUUGUCAACCAUUUUCCAAAGUGUACAAAACGUACACUUUUUCAGACCCCCACCCUCCCUCAAAAAGUGUACAUCAACCAUUUUCAGAUUUCAAGAGAGGAAUCAAUCAUUCUUAAUAAAAAGAAGAUCCUGUUUAUUAUAUUUUAGUUUAAUAUAGAAAUUUGCAUUGAAAAUAAACUAAAACAUAUCUGACUGUUUUAUUUGAUGACAUCUAUCUGUGAUGCUUGUGUUUUGUUAGAAUAAAGAGUUCAAAGAUUAGUGUUUCCCCUAUCACACAGUGGGAACUCCAAUGAAAAAGGGCACCUAGAGCAUGCAAAAGAUUAACAAAAGGGCACAUAAACUAUGCUAAGAAUCAAAGAAAGGGAAAUGCA
RNAcentral lists this long non-coding RNA (627 nucleotides) under Mytilus galloprovincialis (Mediterranean mussel). The record is from RNAcentral. Lineage: Eukaryota; Metazoa; Mollusca; Bivalvia; Mytilida; Mytilidae.